RNAcentral lists this ribosomal RNA (497 nucleotides) under uncultured bacterium. Its description in RNAcentral is "partial 16S ribosomal RNA". It matches the Rfam family "Bacterial small subunit ribosomal RNA", at positions 28 to 507 of the family's 1533-position model. The record is from RNAcentral.
GAUGAACGCUGGCGGCGUGCCUAAUACAUGCAAGUCGAGCGAACGGACGAGAAGCUUGCUUCUCUGAUGUUAGCGGCGGACGGGUGAGUAACACGUGGAUAACCUACCUAUAAGACUGGGAUAACUUCGGGAAACCGGAGCUAAUACCGGAUAAUAUUUUGAACCGCAUGGUUCAAAAGUGAAAGACGGUCUUGCUGUCACUUAUAGAUGGAUCCGCGCUGCAUUAGCUAGUUGGUAAGGUAACGGCUUACCAAGGCAACGAUGCAUAGCCGACCUGAGAGGGUGAUCAGCCACACUGGAACUGAGACACGGUCCAGACUCCUACGGGAGGCAGCAGUGGGGAAUCUUCCACAAUGGGCGAAAGCCUGACGGAGCAACGCCGCGUGAGUGAUGAAGGUCUUCGGGUCGUAAAGCUCUGUUAUUAGGGAAGAACAUAUGUGUAAGUAACUGUGCACAUCUUGACGGUACCUAAUCAGAAAGCCACGGCUAACUACGUG